RNAcentral lists this ribosomal RNA (1343 nucleotides) under uncultured bacterium. RNAcentral describes it as "16S ribosomal RNA". It matches the Rfam family "Bacterial small subunit ribosomal RNA", at positions 28 to 1378 of the family's 1533-position model. The record is from RNAcentral.
GACGAACGCUGGCGGCGUGCUUAACACAUGCGAGUCGAACGGAAAGGCCCUGCUUUUGUGGGGUGCUCGAGUGGCGAACGGGUGAGUAACACGUGAGUAACCUGCCCUUGACUUUGGGAUAACUUCAGGAAACUGGGGCUAAUACCGGAUAGGAGCUCCUGCUGCAUGGUGGGGGUUGGAAAGUUUCGGCGGUUGGGGAUGGACUCGCGGCUUAUCAGCUUGUUGGUGGGGUAGUGGCUUACCAAGGCUUUGACGGGUAGCCGGCCUGAGAGGGUGACCGGCCACAUUGGGACUGAGAUACGGCCCAGACUCCUACGGGAGGCAGCAGUGGGGAAUAUUGCACAAUGGGCGGAAGCCUGAUGCAGCAACGCCGCGUGCGGGAUGACGGCCUUCGGGUUGUAAACCGCUUUCGCCUGUGACGAAGCGUGAGUGACGGUAAUGGGUAAAGAAGCACCGGCUAACUACGUGCCAGCAGCCGCGGUGAUACGUAGGGUGCGAGCGUUGUCCGGAUUUAUUGGGCGUAAAGGGCUCGUAGGUGGUUGAUCGCGUCGGAAGUGUAAUCUCGGGGCUUAACCCUGAGCGUGCUUUCGAUACGGGUUGACUUGAGGAAGGUAGGGGAGAAUGGAAUUCCUGGUGGAGCGGUGGAAUGCGCAGAUAUCAGGAGGAACACCAGUGGCGAAGGCGGUCCUCUGGGCCUUUCCUGGCGCUGAGGAGCGAAAGCGUGGGGAGCGAACAGGCUUAGAUACCCUGGUAGUCCACGCUGUAAACGGUGGGUACUAGGUGUGGGGUCCAUUCCACGGGUUCCGUGCCGUAGCUAACGCUUUAAGUACCCCGCCUGGGGAGUACGGCCGCAAGGCUAAAACUCAAAGGAAUUGACGGGGCCCCGCACAAGCGGCGGAGCAUGCGGAUUAAUUCGAUGCAACGCGUAGAACCUUACCUGGGUUUGACAUGGAUCGGGAGUGCUCAGAGAUGGGUGUGCCUCUUUUGGGGUCGGUUCACAGGUGGUGCAUGGCUGUCGUCAGCUCGUGUCGUGAGAUGUUGGGUUAAGUCCCGCAACGAGCGCAACCCUUGUUCACUGCUGCCAGCACGUUAUGGUGGGGACUCAGUGGAGACCGCCGGGGUCAGCUCGGAGGAAGGUGGGGAUGACGUCAAGUCAUCAUGCCCCUUAUGUCCAGGGCUUCACGCAUGCUACAAUGGCUGGUACAGAGAGUGGCGAGCCUGUGAGGGUGAGCGAAUCUCGGAAAGCCGGUCUCAGUUCGGAUUGGGGUCUGCAACUCGACCUCAUGAAGUCGGAGUCGCUAGUAAUCGCAGAUCAGCAACGCUGCGGUGAAUACGUUCCCGGG